Molecule: ribosomal RNA, 1478 nt
Filed under: Rickettsiales bacterium
Lineage: Bacteria; Pseudomonadati; Pseudomonadota; Alphaproteobacteria; Rickettsiales
Description: bacterial LSU rRNA
Rfam family: Bacterial large subunit ribosomal RNA
Source: RNAcentral
AUUAAUUAAGUAUGAGAAGGGCAUUUGGUGAAUGCCUUGGCGAUAAGAGGCGAUGAAGGACGUGAUACGCUGCGAUAAGCGUCGGUUAGCUGCGAAUAAGCUUUGACCCGGCGAUUUCCGAAUGGGGAAACCCACUCUUAGAAUUCUGUUACAGUUUUUGGUAAGUAUUUGUUUGCUCACCGAAAGCUGCGUACAGAAUUCUAUCGAAGAGUAUUUAUAACUGAAUACAUAGGUUAUAAAAGCGAACCCGGUGAACUGAAAUAUCUAAGUAGCCGGAGGAAAGGACAUCAACCGAGACUCCCCUAGUAGUGACGAGCGAACGGGGACCAGGCCAGUGGUGUGUGCAAUGUAACGAGAAUGUUCUGGAAAGGACAGCCAUAGUGGGUGAUAGCCCCGUAUCGGUAAGAUAGCAUGCAUCCUUGAGUAGGGCGGGGCACGUGAAACCUUGUCUGAACAUGGGUCGACCACGAUCCAAGCCUAAGUACUCCUUAUCGACCGAUAGUGAACCAGUACCGUGAGGGAAAGGUGAAAAGCACCCCGACGAGGGGAGUGAAAUAGACCCUGAAACCGAAUGCCUACAAACAGUGGGAGCAUCCUUGCGAUGUGACCGCGUACCUUUUGUAUAAUGGGCCAGCGACUUAGUCUGUCUAGCAAGCUUAAACCGUUAGGUGUAGGCGUAGCGAAAGCGAGUGUUAACUGCGCGUUUAGUUAGACGGAUUAGACCCGAAACCGGACGAUCUAGGUAUGGGCAGGUUGAAGACGCGGUAACACGCGUUGGAGGACCGAACCCACUAAUGUUGAAAAAUUAGGGGAUGACCUGUGCCUAGGGGUGAAAGGCCAAUCAAGUUCGGAAAUAGCUGGUUCUCCGCGAAAACUAUUUAGGUAGUGCGUCAGAUGAAUACCAUCGGGGGUAGAGCACUGGAUGGACUAGGGGGCCUCACCGGCUUACCAACUCUAACCAAACUCCGAAUACCGAUGAGUACUAUCUGGCAGACAGACGGCGGAUGCUAACGUCCGUCGUCAAGAGGGAAACAACCCAGACCUACAGCUAAGGUCCCCAAAUCGUAGUUAAGUUGGAAAGCAUGUGAGACGGCCAUAACAACCAGGAGGUUGGCUUAGAAGCAGCCAUCCUUUAAAGAAAGCGUAAUAGCUCACUGGUCUAAUUAAGCUGUCUUGCGGCGAAGAUGUAACGGGUAUUAAACUACGUACCGAAGCUUAGGGCUUGCUUUUAGCAAGCGGUAGCGGAGCGUUGUGUAAGUCUGCGAAGGUGAGGGGCGACCCUUGCUGGAGAUAUCACAAGUGCGAAUGCUGGCAUGAGUAGCGACAAGAAGAGUGAGAAACUCUUCCGCCGAAAUCCCAAGGGUUCCUGCGUUAUGUUAAUCAGAGCAGGGUUAGUCGGCCCCUAAGGCGAGGCAGAAAUGCGUAGUCGAUGGGAAACGGGUUAAUAUUCCCGUACUUCAUAUAACUGCGAUGGGAAG